This is a long non-coding RNA of Mya arenaria, 4160 nucleotides long. RefSeq lists it as uncharacterized. The transcript has 6 exons. NCBI's taxonomy places the organism in Eukaryota, Metazoa, Mollusca, Bivalvia, Myida, Myidae. The record is from RefSeq and is a predicted model, not a curated record.
CGCCAUAAUUCGACAAACAACAACGUUUGAAGCCAUAUUUUUUCGUCAAUUUUUGGCCAUUGUUAAUUUUCCGGUUGAUUAUUAGAUUUUACAUCAUAGUCUUCAUGGACUUUCACUAACCCGGCCCAUUCUUUUGCUUUUGUUUGUUUUUGAGGCCCUUUCAGCGUCCUUAGCCACUUUUCGGACGGGAAGGGUAGCCGGAUAGAAGACAAACAAGGUUAGUGACUGUACAAUCAAAUUAAUCUUCUACUCGGGAGCAUUUGAUUUGUAAGCAUGGCCAGAAGUAAAGUGCUUGUAAACUUCUUGUCUGUUGAAGACUUGCAGACAAUUCCAAAUAUUGGGCCCCAGUGAGGUUUGCAUCUACUCUUGUAGAUUUGCGUGAGCAUUAUGGCAAUCUCACAGCAGAAAGUUUGCAGACAAUGCUUUGGCAUAAAUUGCCGGACUCUUGUCAUGCUAGAGUUGACUCAAGACACGGUCUGUAAACGCCAGCUCCACCACUUUACGGUGGUGCAAAGAAAAAGAGCUGUCGACACUUCCGUGGUGGAGCUGUGCCCUAUGUAUAUUUGGACAAACGUGAGUAUGAUUUAUAUUUUAUUUGAUAAUUUCAUUUAACGGACAUAUUUCGAAAAUCGAAGAAUGUGGUACCGUGUAAGAACACUUCUAUUGUAGGCUGGUUACUAUUUCGUUUCAAUAUUGUGCAAACUGUGGUGCCAGGAGCUUUUCUCCCGAAUCAGACUUGUGCAUAUUUUGAGAUCUGAUUGCAUAGCAAGUACAUUUCAGUGCUUUCACACCCGGUAAGAACAUUCUCACGCAUGCAAACAUAACUGUUAUGCAUAGUACCUAUGCCGAAACACAACAAAACUAAUAAGCACUUCUUAAAAAAGAAAAAUGCACAUGUUUAUAAAAGUGGUGGCGCUGUUGCUGGUGCGACAACAAAAAUUAAUCCGAUAAUUAGGACAAGCAGUCACAGCCCAGUCAACACAGUCAAUGCUUAAACUCCUUAACCCCCGCCGCGACAAGUGGCGACAACUUUUUAGAACCCAGGGGGAAUCCUGGAAACAUUCUUUUCAUCAGAAGUCACAAAUAGUCUGAUCUGGUUGAUUAUUGAGAGAGUGACUGGUAAUUUCUUUUUAAUGGAGACAUGUUUGAAAUAAAUGAAAUAAAAAAUAAAUAUAAUUCUAUAUAUUUGUAAAAGAUAUGUAAAACAUAUUAAGAUCAAUCAGUUUAUUAAUUAUAUCUGUAGACAGGUCUUACUCUUGAAGAAUAUUAGUUAGUACUUGUUUAAUAAUACUCUUUGUUGACUCAGGAUUCUCCAAGGAAACAGGCACCAGGGGCAAGCUUACACAGAGGAUAAGGAAGACUGUCAAGUAAAUCGUAAUCCACCCAAGAAAGACCCGGGAGGAACUGUAGAGAACCAGCCAGACAGCCCGCCCGCCGAGAUGCCCACCCGGCCGAGCUGUACUUUGUGUAUGCUGACAUGCUGUAAUUUGUUAGUACUUCAAGAUCAUAGAAUGGAAAAUUGUAUCCAAACUGAAGUAUAAAAGUUGGUUUAGGGCAUACUGCAGAUCUUCACAGAUGACUCAGAUCUAAAGAAUGGGCCAAUAGAAUCUUGAAGGUACCAUUGACGUGCAGCAUCUAGGCAUGGUGUGCGCUUUAGUUCAGGCAAAACACCACAUUCUGGACUCAUCCUCAAAAGAUUAGCUUCAAUUUCUGAGGAAUCUACAAACUCUUUGCAUACUACAACUCCUGGUUUAUGUUUUGAUACAUAGAAAUGGUGGUAUUUGGUGAUAUUCUUUAGAGUUUUGAAAUAUGUAUCUAGGAAUGAUUUCCAACUGUGAACUGUGAUUGGCUGCUGAGGGUCAUAAACCAAGUGUGGGAUGUUGUGGCUGGACUUUGAAGAGGCGAAAACAGUGUGGGCAAUUUCAUGAAGAUUCUCGGCAUUACAGCAUCGCCAGAUACCGAAGUGACAGUCAGGAGCAAAUUUGGUGUGCCCAGCCAACAUAGUGUUUAGUGUUACACUCUCAUGCAGUCCUGAAAAUUGUUGGAAGAUCUGUUUAGUAUCAUGAUGUGCCAAUAAGCUCCAGUUAGCUGCGCCUUUUUCCUCCCAGCGUUAGUCCUGCAAUCUGAAUCCAGGAGAUGCAGCUCUGAAUCCAAUAUUUCAGAAGAAUGAAGAUACGAGGAGUUGGUGUGCCAUGUCUGCAGACUGCACCUAUCCAGGAAGCAGCGACUGAUACCCCAUCUCAAGUCUAUUCACCCAGACGUACCCUUACCAGACCAUUUGGCAAAUGGAAGAAGUCACUACAAAUGGUAUGAGGUGGACAAUGCUACCCAAUUCCACGAAGAACACAGAGCCGGUGGAUAAAUGAACCUACCGCAUAUGAGAAUUCCAUAGUUGACAAUUUGGAAAUUGAGGAAGCGAAUGAACGUGAGGACACAAAUGAAAACCAAAUUCAAGUAGAUGAAACAGUGGAUGAGAUAUGUCCACCCGAGCUGCAAGAACUAUCAACAUGUUCCUCUGAGUUAGACACUUGUCAAUCCUUAGGUGAAUGUGGUGAACAUUUGCAAGAAGUGAAAAGAGUUCAUGUUCAUGGACAAAUGUUCUAUUCAGAUUCUUACACAAGAAUUGAAAAAAGAAAAUGCAGCAUAGUGCUUUUUGAUUAUGAAAACAACCGAUGUGUGGGGACUGUUGAGAAGUUUUAUUUGAAUCAACGUUCUGGCAUAUGCUAUGCAAAGUUGCAUGAACUGAAAGUUGUUGGUCUGCUUGUCCCCAGCAUAAGCCAUAUUGUUCGGGUGGAAAGAACUGGAACUUUCAAUAUUGUGCCUGUUGAUAACAUUGUUGAAAAUGUGCUGUUUUUUUUAUGUGAUCCAACAAAAAUGUAUUGCCAAAUUACCAAAUCUAUAUCGCCAGUGUCGUUAAAUGUAGCGCCAUUCCCUUGUCUUGAAUGAAAAAUAACUGAACAGUAUGUUACCAAAAUGUGAGUGGAAAAAAUGUUUGUUUAUAUCAAAGGUCAAGGUUACAACAUUUUAUCAUAGGACAAAAUUCCUUGCUAUUCUUAACAUACAUUUUGUAUUGUAAAAAAUGAAUGCCUAUUUGCAUGAAAAUCGUGACAUCUGCAUGACAUGUAUAUAUUAUGUUUCAAUCAUGUAAUUCUUUAGUCUGUUGUAAAUAUAUACUUCAAAUAAUUAACAAAUCAUUUAACUAAUUAUGUUUCAUGAAUUUGAUUAUUUCUAGUGUUUGAAAAUCGGAUUCCAUUUGCUAUCGAUAAUCGAAUCGAAUCGGACCAAGCAUUUUGAUUUACUAUCAAACAAUAAUCAAAAGUUCAUAAUAUCAUUAAGCAAUACAUUCUUUAUACAUAGUAUCAUCAUGAUCAUUCAAAUGGUUAAACCUGAGAUCAGUAAGUGAUGCUAUAGUGAUGCCACUUGCAACAGUAAGUAAAUUUCCAUAACCUUUCUGUCGUUUAUAACUCAACGAGGAGAGACCGGGAAAUAGUAUCGCCCCUCAACGAAACAACAUAAAAACACAACAAAUACUAAUAAUUGCACAGUAAUUGCAAAAUGAUGCACACCGCAUCAUGUAAGUUAUCUUAGCAUAUUAUCCAUGUAAAAGCAUAUUAAAUAUUUGUGAACCAGCUUAACAUUCAAUAAACUGUUAUAUUGAAAAUUUCAUUAAAAAAUCUUAAUUUGAUAAAACUUUCAAAAAAGGAAAUUAAUGAAUUACAAACGAUACUAAAAAAUGUUUUAAAAACAGAAUGCAUGGAGCCGGGAUCACCGGUAAGACCGGACGCACUACACCAUAAAGACAGGUUAUUGAAGAAGGUUUUAUGAUUUAUAUGAAAAAUUUGUAAUUUUGGGAGAGUUUUUACGCAAAAGUGUUUGCAUUCACCGCAUUUGUGUAAGCGAGUGACCUCCCUGUUAAAAUGACUUCUACGAAAAUUUACCGGAAACAAAAAUUGACAUUUACUCGACAUUUACCACACAAAAAAAAAUACGUAGUUACCGGAAGUAGCAUUAGCAACAUCGAUUUUGGACAACCACUAUCGAUUGUCGCCGACAUAGCAUUGUCAGCGACGAUUAAUCGAUUGUACUCGAUUAUUGUUUCAUCACUAAAUUUAUUUCAGUGAUGAUGAAGUUUUGUGAAUAAAUACAAGUUUUGAAGGUUA